Molecule: long non-coding RNA, 333 nt
Filed under: Citrus maxima (pomelo)
Lineage: Eukaryota; Viridiplantae; Streptophyta; Magnoliopsida; Sapindales; Rutaceae
Description: long non-coding RNA (CMAX_LNC002726)
Source: RNAcentral
GAUCGGAUUGCACUGCUCCUUAAAAAAAACAGAAAUUAAAUGAAAAAUUGAAAACUUAAACAGCUAAACCUAAUUCCCAAAUCACAAAACAACCCACCCAACCCAGCCACGCGACCUGACGCACAACGCAACCCAGCCAAACCAACCCACAACCACAAACCACACACACAGGCCACAACCUGACGCACACGGCGACUCACGCCAUCGACAACACAAACGGAACAAACCCAGCCGGAUCUUGAUCAACGUCCAGUUGCCAUUCACGACGAGCAACUGACGGCGAAAGCAACCUCGCGAUAGUUGACUUGUUCAUUGUGUAAGGUUUCUGUCUUU